UGCAAGAAGGAGGCGGCGGCGGCGGCGGCCGGAGCUGGAGUGGGAGGAGGGGAGGAACCUGAUCCUCGGUAGCGAAGGGCUGGAGGCAAACACCGAGCUCCCCCUGAGCCGCUCGGGAACAGGGAGGGUUCUGCUACCCUGAGGGGCCCUCCCCGCGGGGCAGAGGGGUUUCCUCAGCAGUGCCCCCGAGCAGGGACCGCGCCAGCCAGCAGAAACAGCUAGUUGUUGUCUACAGUGAAGAAUAAUUGGAAGCAUGGUGCCUGCUUCUUUUCCUGUGGGGGGAAGUCACGACAUGUACUUCUGACUCUAUGCUUGCCUUGAGGAACAAUGGCAUGACACAGGGAUGUGGACGUUUUUCAACCAGAUGCUUCGGUACAGCAGUGUCGGCACACAAGGAGUGUUCCACUGACUGACCUCUUUUUGUUUUCAAAUGAAGAGGAGCCAAGAAUAGGACGGCUUGGGAAGCCCAUCCUCGCCUAUGGCCAAGGGUUUCUCGUUUCUAGAAGAUGAAAGAUGUGAUGACUUAGGAAAAACUAGAAUCUGAGUAACUGUGGUGGGCACUGGGCCAGAGGUAGGCAUACACCUUGCCAUCCACAAGAGAAAGUGUGCUGUUCGAGAUGUGAGUCUUCAGAUGUUCCCGCCGCCAUAUCUGACAGCUGCUGCCAAGAUUCCCUGGUGCGAUGGACUCUUAUACCUCUACAACCAGAAGCCCAAGUAAACUCUUCUAUAAGUUGAAUGAAUCAUGCUUUAAAAAAAA
RNAcentral lists this long non-coding RNA (757 nucleotides) under Mus pahari (shrew mouse). Its description in RNAcentral is "lncRNA (MGP_PahariEiJ_G0012257.1)". Lineage: Eukaryota; Metazoa; Chordata; Mammalia; Rodentia; Muridae. The record is from RNAcentral.